UUUUUAAAGCAAUUUUUACUAAUAAUUUCUUCUAAUUUAGAAAUAGGUGGUUUCAAUAAAUUGUUUUGUUUUGUUCCUAUGUAACUUCUAAGUUGAAGAUAUUUGAAAAAAAAAUUUCCUCUGUAUGUUGUGUUUGGAUCUAAGUUCUUCAAAUGACAUCAUGCAGUCGGAGCCUGUUGGGUACAAAUCUUGAAUCUUCUCCAAUCCUUUUAGAGCCCAUUGCUUAAACACUGCGUCGGCUCUCCCAGGAACAAAAUCUUGAUUUCCCCAGAUUGGAGUCAGGCGUGACAGAGUAACCGGUUCUUUUAGAUGUCUCUUGACACUGUAGCAUAUCUUAACCAUAUUUUUUACGAUUGGGUUUCCAGUUUUCUUGAUCAAAUUAAGCUCUGUGUCAGAGAAAUGGUACAAGGGUAAUGCAGGACUUAAGACAUUACUUUCCAUUUCUGUCCACUGGGGGGCUUCAUUUGUACUAAAGUAAUACCCUAUUGAUCUGAGCUGGGCUGCCCAAUAAUGCCACACAAUGUUUGGGCACGUUAGGCCUCCUUCAUUGUAAGGCAAGUGGAGUAAAGACAGUCUUAUUCUAGAACGUUGUUUGGACCAUAUAAAUUCAAGGAGGAGUUUUUUGAACGUUUUAAACCAGUCAGCAGGUGGUGGCAAAGGAAUAUUCUGAAAAACAUACAAUAAUUUUGGAAUUGUAGUCAUUUUGUAAAUAUUAAUUUGGCCAAUCAGAGACAUGGGAAGAAGCAUCCAUCUAUUGACACUAUUUGUAAUUUCCUUAGUUACUGAUUCAUAGUUAUGCUGAACGAUCAAAUCUAAAUUUGGAAAAAUUUGUAUUCCUAGCUAAGUAAAUUGAGGGACCGAUUUAAGUUGUGAAAAGACUGCCGGUGGAGACUCUCUCUCUCCUUCAUCUAGCAAUAAAAUAGAGGAUUUGGAUCUGUUAAUUGCAUAUCCUGAGAUGUGACCAAACUCAUCAAUUAGUUUUAACAGAGCAGGAAUAGUUACAUUUAAUUGAGAAAGGAAUAAAAUUAUGUCAUCUGCAUAUAAUGAAAGCCUAUGUUCUACCUGACCAAUUGUGAUUCCAGUUACAUGUGAAUGUCACCGUACAGCUAUAGCAAAGGGUUCCAUGGCUAAAGUGAAUAGCAAAGGAGAUAAUGGACAUCCUUGGCGGCAUCCACGUUUAACUAAAAUGGGUUUGGAUAUGUUUUUGUUCGUUAAGAUCUCUGCAGUUGGGUGUAGAUAUAGCACUUGUACCCAUUUUCUAAAUUUAGGUCCGAGACCAAAGCGAGUUAACACAUAAAGAUAAGCCCACUCUACCCUAUCAAACGCUUUUUCAGCAUCUAGGGAGAGGAAGGCAGUAUCUGUAGUUUUCUCUAAUCCUUGAAUAAUGUUGCGAACGCUCCUUACAUUAUCUAGUCCUUGGCGACCUAAAAUAAGCCAUUUUGAGCCCUGUGAAUGAUUGAAGGAAGUAUUUCCUGUAAACGUGUUGCUAAUAUUUUACAAAGUGUUUUUAAAUCUGAAUUCAGCGGACUUAUUGGCCUCAUAUUUUCACAUUUAUUGCUAGGUUUCCCAGGCUUAGGCAGUAAGAUGAUUAACGUGUUAGUCAUUGAGUGAGGAAGGUCACCCUCUAUAAAUGCUUCUUGUAACAUUUCCAAUAUUGGUUUUACUAACUUUCCCUUAAACUUUUUAUAAAAGUCAGUUGGAAACCCAUCAGGUCCAGCUUUUUUACCUGUGCUCAUGGCAUCAGUAACUUCCAUUAUUUCCUGUUCACUGAUAUUGGCAUCCAAGUGUUGUUUAAGGUCAUCUGUAAUAUUUGGUAUGGUCACUGUGUCAAGAAAUAUAUUUUGUGCAUUUGGGUCGAUACUCCCCUGUGAAUCAUAAAGUUUUUCAUAAUAAUUUCUGAAUUCUUUAUUUAUCUCAAUUGGGUUCACAACAGAUUCCCCUUUUGUGUUUGUUAUUGAGGUUAUGUUUUUUUGUGCUUCCAAUUGUUUUAUUUGCCACGCUAAAAUCUUCCCAGGCUUUUCUCCCUGUUCAUAAAAAGAUUGAUUUAACCUGAAUAUAUUAGAGGCUGCCCUGUCCGCUGAUUCUUUAUCAUAUCGCGCCUUAACAGCAACAGCUCUUUCUCAACUAAUGAAUUUUGAUUACUGAACAAUUGUUUCUCUAGAUUUUUUAUCUUUUCUUCUAGUUGUUGUCUUUUAUUACGCUGUUCCUCAGAUUUUGAGAAGGUGUACGAAAUUAUAUAACCCCUUAAACAGACUUUAAAAGCUUCCCAUUUAAUACAAACUGUGGUUUCUGUCGUAUUUAUGUGAAAGUAUUCAUCAAUUUUGGUCUCUACAUAACUAACAAAGGCUUCAUCUUUAAGCCAUUUUAGAUGUAAGCACCAUCUAGGGGGAUCUGUCAUUAAAGUUUUAUGAAAAUAUUGCAGAUUACAUGAAGCAUGAUCUGAUAUUGUAAUACUGUCAUAGGAACAAUCGACCAUAUUAGAUAACAAGUCUGCUGAAAUCAGAAAGUAAUCUAUAUGAGAAUACGUUUUGAAUAUUUUAGAAUGACAUGAGUAUGUUUUAUCAGUCGGAUUAAAAUGUUGCCAAAUAUCUAUCAUCUGCAGCUCCUUCAUAAAGUUCUGGAUGAUUUUUCUGCUUUUAUGAUGAUUCUGGUCAAUUCCCGUAGGUCAAUCAAGGAGAGGAUUCAAAACACAGUUCCAAUCACCACCAAUGAUGUUUUUUCCUGGGAGAGAGGAAAUGGUUAGAAAGAGAUUUGUAAAAAAAGAGGCAUACAAAGAGCCCUGCCACCUCCUGCUUAUCCAGAUAUUUUCAUCCUCAAGAGUGUGGCUCUCUUGUAAGAAAACUAUUUUAGAGCCCAAAUCUUUAAUUUUGUUCAUAACCUGCUUGAUCUUUUUAGUUGUUAGUAAACCCCUGCAAUUCCAAGACGUGCAUUUAAUUUAAAAUUUUUGUCAUCUAAACCAAGCAUCAAGUACCUUAAUAUUACAAAAUGUAAAUGUGUCUGAGAGGUCACACACACUAAAAGACUGGAGCAUGAAGUGAAAGCUCCAAACUGCACAAAAACAAAAACCCUCUUCCCAGCUAACUGGGUAACCCCCAGAAAUACCUUACUUCCGACCGCAAACAUCUACAGAUCUACGGGAUCUGCUCUACUGUCAGUAAUGAACCAUAUCCCAACAUUCGUCUGCUACUGUAUUUAAGUAAUGUAUCCUUCUUAAGACAAGGUGAAUACUUGCUUUGUUUGAAAAUAAGGGAAAAGCUUAUUUAUCAGUUUGCAAUUUACAUUAAAUAUGUUGAGCUUAUCAUCUAAUAGAAACAAAUAAACAAGAUAGAUCUCACCAAAUAGGUCUGCAAAGUAAACAUUUAACAACAGUACGGAAGUGCUCCAGUCAAUCUAUUUCUUCAGUGUCCAUUUGAAUCUUUUUAACAAAACUCUUUGCCUCCGCAGGGGUUUUGAACUUGUGGACCUUCUCCUUGUAGGAAUCUCAUGAUAACUGUUCUCGGUGGUGCAUCUGCGUCCCUCUUUGGCCCGACGCGGUGCGCCCUUUCCAGGACUAAGGGGUGAGGCAUAGGAUUUAGAUCCAGCGCAUCCGGCAGCCAGAAACCAACUUUACUUAUUUAAUGUAUGAUUUAAAAUGUGAUCUCCACAUGCUGUAAUGCUGUACAGGUCAAACUGUGUGAAAACUACAGCCAUAUGUCAUGAAUUUAAUCUGUCAUCUGUUUGUUCCUCAUCAGUGAUUUAUUUCUUGAUGGAUUAUUGGAAAUGCUAAACUUGUUUUAAACUCCAUUUUGAUUGCAAAUAAACUUUUAAAAAACUC
Stegastes partitus (bicolor damselfish) is the source of this 3814-nucleotide long non-coding RNA. RefSeq lists it as uncharacterized. The transcript is spliced from 2 exons. Lineage: Eukaryota; Metazoa; Chordata; Actinopteri; Pomacentridae. The record is from RefSeq and is a predicted model, not a curated record.